AGUAAAUAAAUUUAAAUAUCUCAACCUCAAAAUGGUUCAGCAGGACUCUUGUAAAAAGUGAUUAAUUUUCGUGAAUUCUUGUUAAUCGCAAUGCUUGUCGAGAAAUGAGAUUCGAAAGCGGAAAGUCUGAAAGAGAGAGAGAGAGAGAGAGAGAAAGAGAGAGAAAAAGGGAAAACGAGAAAAUGCGUAAUUAACAUAUAAGGAGUUUAUCAAAGUUCGAUACCUCGUGGCUCCAGACGCAUGUAACAUCAGUGUUAGGAAAGUAGCGUUUAGAAUUUGCGUUCGCACAAACAGCGGCCGCUGCCAAAGAGAGAAAUUGCGGAGCAAGACGAUGGCGGAUUUCAAGGAGGAGGCGGAACUGGCCUGGAUCUCUAAAUGCGAUCUCACGGAUAGCACCGAUGGA
Long non-coding RNA from Odontomachus brunneus, 403 nucleotides. RefSeq lists it as uncharacterized. The transcript is spliced from 3 exons. The record is from RefSeq and is a predicted model, not a curated record. Lineage: Eukaryota; Metazoa; Arthropoda; Insecta; Hymenoptera; Formicidae.